This 449-nucleotide ribosomal RNA is filed under the name uncultured bacterium. RNAcentral's name for it is "partial 16S ribosomal RNA". It matches the Rfam family "Bacterial small subunit ribosomal RNA", at positions 29 to 523 of the family's 1533-position model. The record is from RNAcentral.
AACGAACGCUGGCGGCAUGCCUAACACAUGCAAGUCGAACGAGAUCUUCGGGUCUAGUGGCGCACGGGUGCGUAACGCGUGGGAAUCUGCCCUUUGGUUCGGAAUAACAGUUGGAAACGACUGCUAAUACCGGAUGAUGCCGAAAGUCCACAGAUUUAUCGCCAGAGGAUGAGCCCGCGUAGGAUUAGCUAGUUGGUGUGGUAAAGGCGCACCAAGGCGACGAUCCUUAGCUGGUCUGAGAGGAUGAUCAGCCACACUGGGACUGAGACACGGCCCAGACUCCUACGGGAGGCAGCAGUGGGGAAUAUUGGACAAUGGGCGAAAGCCUGAUCCAGCAAUGCCGCGUGAGUGAUGAAGGCCUUAGGGUUGUAAAGCUCUUUUACCCGGGAUGAUAAUGACAGUACCGGGAGAAUAAGCUCCGGCUAACUCCGUGCCAGCCGCCGCAGUAA